RNAcentral lists this ribosomal RNA (747 nucleotides) under uncultured bacterium. RNAcentral's name for it is "bacterial SSU rRNA". It matches the Rfam family "Bacterial small subunit ribosomal RNA", at positions 33 to 773 of the family's 1533-position model. The record is from RNAcentral.
ACGCUGGCGGCAGGCCUAACACAUGCAAGUCGAGCGGCAGCACGGGUACUUGUACCUGGUGGCGAGCGGCGGACGGGUGAGUAAUGCCUAGGAAUCUGCCUGGUAGUGGGGGAUAACGUUCGGAAACGGACGCUAAUACCGCAUACGUCCUACGGGAGAAAGUGGGGGAUCUUCGGACCUCACGCUAUCAGAUGAGCCUAGGUCGGAUUAGCUAGUUGGUGAGGUAAUGGCUCACCAAGGCGACGAUCCGUAACUGGUCUGAGAGGAUGAUCAGUCACACUGGAACUGAGACACGGUCCAGACUCCUACGGGAGGCAGCAGUGGGGAAUAUUGGACAAUGGGCGAAAGCCUGAUCCAGCCAUGCCGCGUGUGUGAAGAAGGUCUUCGGAUUGUAAAGCACUUUAAGUUGGGAGGAAGGGCAGUAAAUUAAUACUUUGCUGUUUUGACGUUACCGACAGGAUAAGCACCGGCUAACUCUGUGCCAGCAGCCGCGGUAAUACAGAGGGUGCAAGCGUUAAUCGGAAUUACUGGGCGUAAAGCGCGCGUAGGUGGUUUGUUAAGUUGAAUGUGAAAUCCCCGGGCUCAACCUGGGAACUGCAUCCAAAACUGGCAAGCUAGAGUAUGGUAGAGGGUGGUGGAAUUUCCUGUGUAGCGGUGAAAUGCGUAGAUAUAGGAAGGAACACCAGUGGCGAAGGCGACCACCUGGACUGAUACUGACACUGAGGUGCGAAAGCGUGGGGAGCAAAC